UUUCCGUAGGUGAACCUGCGGAAGGAUCAUUAUUGAAUAAACCUGAUGUGGUUGUAGCUGGCCCUUUCGGGAGCAUGUGCACGCCCGUCGUCUUUAUCUUUCCACCUGUGCACCUUUUGUAGACCUGGAUGUAACACUUUCCGAGGCAACUCGGUCGGGAGGAAUGCUGUCAGCUUUCCUUGAAUGUCCAGGCCUAUGUUUUCAUAUACCCCAAAGAAUGUAACAGAAUGUAUUAUUGGGCCUUGUGCCUAUAAACUAUAUACAACUUUCAGCAACGGAUCUCUUGGCUCUC
Molecule: unclassified non-coding RNA, 292 nt
Filed under: plant metagenome
Description: partial contains small subunit ribosomal RNA, internal transcribed spacer 1, and 5.8S ribosomal RNA
Source: RNAcentral